This 2068-nucleotide unclassified non-coding RNA is filed under the name Hevea brasiliensis (rubber tree). The record is from RNAcentral. Lineage: Eukaryota; Viridiplantae; Streptophyta; Magnoliopsida; Malpighiales; Euphorbiaceae.
GCUCGAGUACCUGCUGCUUUUAUUUUCAUUCUUAUUACACUUCUUUAGUGACUUCGCUUUCGUGAAAAAUAACAUUUUCUAUUGAUUUCCGUACACAUGUAUGUAACGCCCAAAUGCAUGUUAACUCUUGAGGGUUCUAUAUUUGUUUCUGCUUCUGUGCCAAUUUGAAAGGCAAGAUUUAUUGUUUGUGUAAAGGAACCAGGAAAGAUGGACAAAUCAUCAGUCUGCUACUGAACCCUCAAUUGAAGAAAUACAUACUCAAAUUGUUUAUCUUCUUCCUUUCUUGGUUGUUCGUACUACAAAAAUAAUAUUAAAAGGGAAAAUCUACAUUUGUGGGGACGUCAGUUAAGUAACGGAGCAUUAUACUGUUAGAAACCUAUGCAGAAGUAAACAAAACGCAGUUCACAUAAGCUUCAUAUAGGUUGCUUUGCUGAUUCUUUGAUACACAGCUUAGUUAGAAUUUCUGGCAAUGACCUACUUCAUGAAAGUUGCCUAUUUGUUUACCUGUAAUGACCCGAGCAGAAAAGUGGAGCAAGCAUGUCAAAAUUUUCAUCCACGUUAAAUGAAAAAGAUAAUUGCGCUGAAACAAAAUUUUCAUAAUAUUUUCCCUUGAAAUUUCCUCAAAAGCCUAAUCUUCAUCAAACUUGAUCCUUUUGGGAGCAGGCUGUACGUCACCCACAAUUUCUGGGCACUCAUAAUCAAGACCAGCAGCCUCUAUCAUCUUUUGCCGCUUCUGACCUUUCUUCAUAAUCUUUUCCACCAACUUUUUAUGCUCUUCAAGUGUUCUAUCCUGAGCAGCCAUAUCACAGGAAAUAUUUAUUUUGAUUGAUAAAUAACAUAAGAAAAAAGAAAACUAAGAGGGAAAAAAUGAAAAGAAAAGCAGGAGGAGGAAGAGAAGCCUCUUUCUCUUAAGCAUCAAAAUAUAAUCAGCCUGAAUUGUCACUUAUCCACAUUUUAUACCAUGUUCUGCCGCUUUCGCUCAAUUUGGACCCGGUCCAAUGGUUUAUAUUGAUAAUUAAAACCUUUCCACAAUUUUGGAUGAACAUGCUCUGGAGGGAUAAGAUGGACUUGCAGAAGAUGCUCGAACAAUAGAUAAUUAUGCAUACACUCAGCAACAACUUCAGCCACCUCAGGAUCUGCAAAUUCAAUAAAUCCAUAAUGCUUUGAUUUUCCAGUCUGUAAACAACCCAGAUCGAGUGAUACCAAAACUAAUACCACCAUAUUACAUUAAGACAUCACAUAACUGGCUUCACAAAAUAUACAAACUAUAGUACUUUUAGCAUAUAAGUUUGAGAAUCUACAAUGAUAUCAUGCAAGAUUUGAUCUAUCAUGAGAUAUCGAGAGACCUUAGAGGAGCCUACGAAUCCAUUUUUCCCUACUCUGGAAAGUAAAAACUUUUAGUUAUACAGAAGCCUUGUUUAUUUAGUAAUAAAAUGCUAUACUAAAAUGGCUGAAAUCUAGUUUCUCAAAUGUUAGAAUGUUAUGAAUAAACAGCAAACCAGAGAUUUUCAGCAAGUCUGUAAGAGUUUCUCGCAUGGGAAAAAGAAGGCAGAAAACUGAUUUGCAUAAAAUUAUUUCUUUACUUAGUUUAUUAAGAUUUUCUUUUCCUUAUUCAGUUUUUUUUAAUUCAAGUAAUAUUUAGUUUUCCAACCAUAGAACUAUUAGUUGUGCAGAAAAAAAAAGCUUGUUUAGGCAUAUACUCCUAAAUAAUAAAUGAGUACAUUCCUGUUUAGAGUCCAGUUAGGAACCAGAGAAUAUUUAAGCACUUCAUAUUCAGAAAUAAAAUUAUUCAAGCCUAGUUUUAUUCCAGGUUGAGUUCCUAAAAUGCUCAGAGAUCAAAGGGUUCUCUCUAACAAGCCUUCUUUUUACAUUCACAACAAGUAACAAAGGAAAAGACCAUAAAACUAACAAGCCACAAUCCAGUAAUUUCCUAUUAUAUUUCUCUGUGACUGCAUGUAUACUUGAUCCCAGACCAUGGUUUCAAAUAACGGCUGUUACGUAACAUAACGGCCGUUAUUUACAAGUUUUAAAGGAGGCCGUUACACAUGAGGCCGUUAUUUACAGGCAA